Long non-coding RNA from Notothenia coriiceps (black rockcod), 171 nucleotides. RefSeq lists it as uncharacterized. The record is from RefSeq and is a predicted model, not a curated record. The transcript has 3 exons. NCBI's taxonomy places the organism in Eukaryota, Metazoa, Chordata, Actinopteri, Perciformes, Nototheniidae.
UACACAUACUAUACAGAGAUGCUAUAUGAGAAACCAAUCACCUGAAAGCCUCAAGAGUCACGUGAACAUCACGUGAGAGACAGAAAUGCAGCUGAGCGACGCUUCUUAAAGAACAGAGGAACACAACAAAAACAACAAUAAUGACGGCCUCUCUGACUGCAGGUCUGGACA